ACACAGUAAGCCCCUCUUGUUCAUCCGUAUGUCAUUCAAAUAGAUACCAAAGAGAGAUGCAUGAGCUCAUGGGCACUUGGUGACGACAAAGGAGUGAGGUUACGGAAGGCAGCUCAGAAACCAAGGCAGCAACAGUCAAGAUAAAGGCAGGAGAGGCAACAGAGCCUUCCCGACUGCUGUCCUCACGAUCCAAGCUGUCAGCCCUCUGUUUAGGGACAAAAACUGAUAACAAGGGAGUUGUGGUUCUUUUUUUAAAAGAAAAAAUUCUCUGUAAAAUGUGAUCACAUAAAAGAAGACUUUACUGCAGCAUCAAAGAGAAUCUCUUGCCUAUCCAAGGACAGGAAGUGCAGAGGGACGGCAAUUCUCUUUCAAGAGCUGCAUGGCCUUUUCCUCUCAUGGUGUCUCUUUGUGUGUAUUGUGGUUUUUGCUUGAGAGCUGCAUGUUUUUCUGAAACGUGAUCUGUGGGGAUCCUUUGAGACCCAGGUUGAAGUUGGGUCUACCAACCCCAGCACUCUAGGAAUUGUCCUCUUUGCUUGAAGCUUUUCAGACUACACAUCUGGCAUGACUCUGGAUGCAAGUCACGUGAGGACUGGCUUAUGGCUUUGACUGUUCAGGGGAGAUUGCUUCACCAUCCACUCAGCACCAAGUCCAGAGAGACAUGAUCCUUGCUGCCACUUUCUGUGAACAGGGCUUUUUUUCUCCUCACUCAUCUGUAUAGCCACUGAAGGUAUAGCCCUCUGGGGCUCCAACUUGAGGUGAGGUGUCUUCAGUCAGAUUGCCCCCAUCUGUGCAACUCUUGCUGCAGAAGCCCAAAGGCUCCAUGGUUUGGCAGAAACUUUCAGGGUGAAAACCAGCUUCGAUAUUCACUUACUGAGCAGAAUCCUUGCUCUGACUGCAUUUCAAUGAUCUAUAGAAAACUUUAUUUCAAGUUAGCUCAUUUAAAAUAAUUUUAAAAAUAUUUAGUUGUCUCAGAGAAUUUUUUUUUUUUUUGAAGAUCAGGAGUCAAUCUCACAGUGUCUCUACUCUUCUGUGAAUAUUUCUUUGUUUUCCCUUUUCUGUUAGGCCAACUCAUUCUGUUUAUUCAAAUUUUUAGUUUUCCAGAAUUCCAGCUCGUUGUGGUUUGGAUAACUAAGGCUUCUUUAGUUCUGAUACUACUUCAGUUUCUUCCCUCAAUGCUCCUUGCCCUGUCACUCCAAUUCCCAAGUGAAAAUUAAGAAAGGAAACUCAUUUUCACUGUGUGUGUGUGUGUGUGUGUGUAUUUCAGGGGUCUUACAAAACAUGACCACUUUUCCUUAACACAGUUUUGGGGCAGAUGAUUUCCACAGAAGAUGAUAUGGGAAGGAACCAUAAAGCAUUUUUAGUACAAAACCUCUAAGGACAAUACUCCCUCCUCUCCUGCCUUAAAAACAAACAAACAAACAAACAAACAAUUGGCUGGGUCCAAGGCAGAGGAGGUUUCUACAAAAUCCUUUCUUAAUGUGAGAUGAGUGGUUCUUGCAAGGUGAUGGCAUGAUAGCCAAAGCGUUAGACUUUGUAUCAGUGUCAUGGCCUUUAAACCCAGCUCUCUGUUGACACCCUUUGAGAGACCAUGAAAUUAUUGCUGAUGUGAAAACAAAAAUAGACUCACCAAAAGCAGUUGAGGAACUAAAUGAGCAACUUUUAUCAAGCAGUCUUUUCAAAGCAUUAACAAAUGUUCAAGAGCUAAUUUAAGAUGCUUUUUGUAUUUCGACACUAGUACAAUAAUGAAGUAAAAUUCGGUAGAGCAUUGACCCCAUCUCUCCCUCCAGCCACUGUCACUUUAUAGCUAAAUUUGAAAGCAUUGUCUUUAGGCACUGCCUCCACUUUCCACCUCCUAUUUCUCCUCAAAUCACUCUAAUUUGCACCACAAUCCUUAGCACAGCUCAGCAACUUCAUGGGAA
RNAcentral lists this long non-coding RNA (1919 nucleotides) under Sus scrofa (pig). RNAcentral's name for it is "lncRNA (ENSSSCG00000051976.1, ENSSSCG00090034424.1, ENSSSCG00130033599.1)". Lineage: Eukaryota; Metazoa; Chordata; Mammalia; Artiodactyla; Suidae. The record is from RNAcentral.